UUACUAUUAACCCCGCCUGGGUACUACGAGCAAAGCUUAAAACCCAAAGGACUUGGCGGUGCCCUAUUCCACCUAGAGGAGCCUGUUCUUUAAUCGAUAAUCCACGAUUCACCUCACCAUUUCUUGCCUAAACCGCCUAUAUACCGCCGUCGUCAAUUUACCCUUUGAAGGAACAAUAGAAGGUAAAAAGGUGCCCACCAAAACGUCAGGUCAAGGUGUAGCGAAUGAAAUGGGAAGAAACGGGCUACAUUUUCUAUUAUAGACCAAACGGAUAAUCAAUAUGAAAUCUGAACAUGAAGGAGGAUUUAGUAGUAAAAAGAAAUCAUCAAGUUCUUUUUAACAUGGCCCUAGGACGCGCACACACCGCCCGUCACUUU
Molecule: ribosomal RNA, 377 nt
Filed under: Leptobrachium gunungense
Lineage: Eukaryota; Metazoa; Chordata; Amphibia; Anura; Megophryidae
Description: partial 12S ribosomal RNA
Rfam family: Bacterial small subunit ribosomal RNA
Source: RNAcentral